CGAGUGGCGAACGGGUGAGUAACACGUGGGUGAUCUGCCCCUGACUUUGGGAUAAGCCUGGGAAACUGGGUCUAAUACCGGAUAUGACCAAGGAUUGCAUGGUUCUUGGUGGAAAGCUUUUGCGGUUGGGGAUGGGCCCGCGGCCUAUCAGCUUGUUGGUGGGGUAAUGGCCUACCAAGGCGACGACGGGUAGCCGACCUGAGAGGGUGAUCGGCCACACUGGGACUGAGACACGGCCCAGACUCCUACGGGAGGCAGCAGUGGGGAAUAUUGCACAAUGGGCGCAAGCCUGAUGCAGCGACGCCGCGUGAGGGAUGACGGCCUUCGGGUUGUAAACCUCUUUCAGCAGGGACGAAGCUUUCGGGUGACGGUACCUGCAGAAGAAGCACCGGCCAACUACGUGCCAGCAGCCGCGGUAAUACGUAGGGUGCGAGCGUUGUCCGGAAUUACUGGGCGUAAAGAGCUCGUAGGCGGUUUGUCGCGUCGUCUGUGAAAUUCUGCAGCUUAACUGCAGGCGUGCAGGCGAUACGGGCAGACUUGAGUACUACAGGGGAGACUGGAAUUCCUGGUGUAGCGGUGAAAUGCGCAGAUAUCAGGAGGAACACCGGUGGCGAAGGCGGGUCUCUGGGUAGUAACUGACGCUGAGGAGCGAAAGCGUGGGUAGCGAACAGGAUUAGAU
This 679-nucleotide ribosomal RNA is filed under the name Gordonia sp. I11A-02815. RNAcentral's name for it is "bacterial SSU rRNA". It matches the Rfam family "Bacterial small subunit ribosomal RNA", at positions 92 to 783 of the family's 1533-position model. Lineage: Bacteria; Bacillati; Actinomycetota; Actinomycetes; Mycobacteriales; Gordoniaceae. The record is from RNAcentral.